This 253-nucleotide ribosomal RNA is filed under the name uncultured bacterium. RNAcentral describes it as "partial 16S ribosomal RNA". It matches the Rfam family "Bacterial small subunit ribosomal RNA", at positions 524 to 776 of the family's 1533-position model. The record is from RNAcentral.
GACGUAGGGCGCGAGCGUUGUCCGGAUUUAUUGGGCGUAAAGAGCUCGUAGGCGGCUUGUUACGUCGGCUGUGAAAACCUGGGGCUCAACCCCGGGCCUGCAGCCGAUACGGGCAAACUAGAAUUCGGUAGGGGAGACUGGAAUUCCUGGUGUAGCGGUGAAAUGCGCAGAUAUCAGGAGGAACACCGGUGGCGAAGGCGGGUCUCUGGGCCGAUAUUGACGCUGAGGAGCGAAAGCGUGGGGAGCGAACAGG